RNAcentral lists this ribosomal RNA (497 nucleotides) under uncultured bacterium. RNAcentral describes it as "partial 16S ribosomal RNA". It matches the Rfam family "Bacterial small subunit ribosomal RNA", at positions 28 to 507 of the family's 1533-position model. The record is from RNAcentral.
GAUGAACGCUGGCGGCGUGCCUAAUACAUGCAAGUCGAGCGAACGGACGAGAAGCUUGCUUCUCUGAUGUUAGCGGCGGACGGGUGAGUAACACGUGGAUAACCUACCUAUAAGACUGGGAUAACUUCGGGAAACCGGAGCUAAUACCGGAUAAUAUUUUGAACCGCAUGGUUCAAUAGUGAAAGACGGUCUUGCUGUCACUUAUAGAUGGAUCCGCGCUGCAUUAGCUAGUUGGUAAGGUAACGGCUUACCAAGGCAACGAUGCAUAGCCGACCUGAGAGGGUGAUCGGCCACACUGGAACUGAGACACGGUCCAGACUCCUACGGGAGGCAGCAGUAGGGAAUCUUCCGCAAUGGGCGAAAGCCUGACGGAGCAACGCCGCGUGAGUGAUGAAGGUCUUCGGAUCGUAAAACUCUGUUAUUAGGGAAGAACAUAUGUGUAAGUAACUGUGCACAUCUUGACGGUACCUAAUCAGAAAGCCGCGGCUAACUACGUG